This is a long non-coding RNA of Pipra filicauda (Wire-tailed manakin), 3120 nucleotides long. RefSeq lists it as uncharacterized. The transcript is spliced from 2 exons. NCBI's taxonomy places the organism in Eukaryota, Metazoa, Chordata, Aves, Passeriformes, Pipridae. The record is from RefSeq and is a predicted model, not a curated record.
CGGAAUCAGGGAAUAUCCGGAGCUGGAAGGGACCCACCAGGAUUUCCAAGUCCAAUCUCAUUCCUAUUGCUGGAAGCAAAUCCUUGGCAUUGGCAGCUUUGGUGUUUGGCUCGGGGCUGAUUCCCGGGAUAGGCGUCGUCUCCCGCUCCUCCUCCCGGAUCCGCCGGAGCGUCAUUCCAACCUUUUCACCAUGUAGGGCCCUUCCAGCUCGUAGCCGAUCUUCCUGUAGUAAUUCCUCGUGCCGACACCUGGAGAAGAGAGGGACAACACGGAUGAAUCCCGUGGGAUGGCAAAAGGACCGGAGGAGCUGGAGCUUCCAGGAACAGCCGCUCCUUUGUCUGGAGAAGGAGAGGGAACGCUUGGAUCCAGGAUCCAACAAAACCCCUGGCACAGCUGUGGGAUCGUUGCCGGGAGCUGAAGGGCCCGACAGCCCCCGGAGCCACUUCCAAGCGCUCCUGGGAAAGUGGGAUCCAAUUUCCUCAUCCCGCUCUCCUGAGGACUCUUCCCUCUCCUGCUGCCGCCGGGAGAUCCCGUGGAGGGCACAGGAUCCCGCAGUUCCCGGGAUUCUGGGGUAUGACAGCAGGAUUUGGGGUAAAACAGUAGGAUUUGGGGAUAAAACUGGAAUUUGGGGCAAAACAGCAGGAUUUUAGGGUAAAGCAGCAGGAUUUUGGGGGUAAAGCAGCAGGAUUUUGGGGUAAAACACCAGGAUUUUAGGGUAAAGCAGCAGGAUUUUGGGGUAAAAAUGGGAUUUUAGGGUAAACCAGCAGGAUUUGGGGUAAAACUGAGAUAUGGGGCAAAAGAGCUGGAUUUUGGAGUAAAGCAGCAGGAUUUGGGAUAAAACUGGAAUUUGGGGCAAAACAGUAGGAUUUUAGGGUAAAACACCAGGAUUUUGGGGUAAAGCAGCAGGAUUUUGGGGUAAAGCAGCAGGAUUUUGGGGUAAAAAUGGGAUUUUAGGGUAAAACACCAGAAUUUUAGGGUAAAGCAGUAGGAUUUUAGGGUAAACAAGCAGGAUUUGGGGUAAAAGUGGGAUUUUGGGCAAAAGAGUAAGAUUUUGAAGUAAAGCAGCAGGAUCUGGGGUAAAACUGGGAUUUUAGGGCAAACCAGCAGGAUUUUGGGGCAGAGCAGCAAGAUUUUGGGGUGAAACUGGGAUUUCAGGGUAAAACACCAGGCUUUUGGGGUAAAAAUGAGAUUUUAGGGUAAAGCAGCAGGAUGUUGGAGUGAAGCAGCAGGAUUUGGGGUAAAACUGGGAUUUUAGGUCCCUUCCAACCCAACCCAUCCCAUGGUUCCUUUCUCAUUCCAAGGAAGCGGAAGACGACAAGAACUCUUUCCUGAUAAUUAAUUAUUAAGAAUUAAUAAUUCUUGAGGACUGACGAGCAGGUUUCAAGCAGAGAAAGGAGAGGAGCUCUGAUCCCACCUGCCUGGAUGGGAAUCCAUGGGAAAGCCUUUUGGGAUCGUCCCUCAUCACAACGGUCUGGCCCAGAGGGGGCCAUGGCAGAAUCCAGCCCAGGAAUUCCCCUCCUGACUGACCUGGCUUUUCACUGGAAUAUUUACACCUCAACAUUAAUUAAAUAAGGAUUUUAAGCCUGGCUUAAGCAGGGGAGAGAGGGAAGGGGCCACAGGACAGGCUUAAAAAGAGUUCUGGCCCAGAGGGGCCCCAUAAAUCCCUUUCCCGCCUCAGCCCUGCCGCAUCCCGAGUAUCCCGCAGGAUUCCUUCCCAGCUCAGUAGGCUCAGGACUAAGUGAAAACGAGGCUGUUUUCAGGAUCAUUAAAGCCAUAAAUUCCCACGGCACAGGCAGGGAACUGUUGGGCUGAGCCAACAGCAGGGACUCGACUCCACACAGGCAGCUCCGGAAUCUUCUCCGGAGACGCGCAGUUGUGCCUCCCAGAUUCCUUCCCCCUCCAGAUAUUCCAGGGCUGCUCCCGACUGUUCCGAGCUCAAAAUAUUCCAGGGCUGCUCUCGAGUGUCCUGAGCUCCAAAUAUCCCAGGGCUAAUCUGCUCCCGAGCUUUCCAAAAUCCAAAUAUUCCAGGGCCAAUCUGCUCCUGAUUGUUCUGAGCUCCAAAUAUUCCAGGGAUGCUCCCGAGUGUUCUGAGAUCCAAAUAUUCCAGGGCUGCUCCCGACUGUUCUGAGCUUUCCAAAUAUUCCAGGGCUUCUCCUGAGUGUUCUGAGCUCCAAAUAUUCCAGGGUUGCUCCCCACUGUUCUGAACUCCAAAUAUUCCAGGGCUGCUCCCGACUGUUCUGAGCUCCAAAUAUUCCAGGGUUGAUCUGCUCCUGAGUUUUCCAAACUCCAAAUAUUCCAGGGCUGCUCCCGACUGUUCUGAGCUCCAAAUAUUCCAGGGCUGCUCCUGAGUGAACUCCAGAUAUUCUAGGACUGCUCCUGAGUGUUCUGAGCUCCAAAUAUUCCAGGGAUGCUCCUGAGUUUUCUGAGCUCCAAAUAUUCCAGGGCUGAUCUGCUCCCAACUGUUUUGAGCUCCACAUAUUCCAGGGAUGCUCCUGAGUGUUCUGAGCUCCAAAUAUUCCAGGGCUGCUCCCGACUGUUCUGAGCUCCAAAUGUUCCAGGGCUGCUCCCGAGUUUUCAAAACUCCAAAUAUUCCAGGGCCGAUCUGCUCCCGAAUUUUCCAAACUCCAGAUAUUCCAGGGCUGAUCUGCUCCCGAGUGUUCUGAGCUCCAAAUAUUCCAGGAGUGUUCCGAACUUGCCUCAGUUCACGUGCCAGCUGCAGUUUUGGCCACAGCAAAGCCUCUUCCAGGGUUUGUUUUUUUUUUGGGAGUAAACACCUGGAUCAGUGGGAAAAGGAGCCCUGGAUAAUCUGUGGGAUCCCUGGUGAGUGGGGAUUGUCCUUCAAGGAUGCUCCAUCCCUGGAAGUGUCCAAGGGCAGUUUGGAUUCCCUUGGAGCAACCUGGGAUAGCGGAAGGUGUCGGGGUUGGAACUGGAUGAUCCUUAAGGUCUCUUCCCAUUCCAUGACACUGGAGAACAUUCCCAAAACCUAAUUCUAAUUUCCAGAGGAUUUUCACCUCCCGGGAUCUUCAGGGACUCGUUGCCAAUUCCCGAAUGGAAAAAUAAACCCCUUUGCUGCCGGGAUCUCUGUGGGGUUCUUCAAUUAAGAAAUUAAAUUAAAUUAAA